Molecule: non-coding RNA, 298 nt
Organism: Nipponia nippon (crested ibis)
Lineage: Eukaryota; Metazoa; Chordata; Aves; Pelecaniformes; Threskiornithidae
Source: RefSeq, a predicted model, not a curated record
UGGUUUCUUACAGAGCUGAUCCUUUAUCCAACAUGGUUCUUACUUUCUCUACUAAAGAAGAUGCCAUUGCCUUUGCUGAAAAAAAUGGCUGGAGCUAUGAUGUCGAAGAGAAGAAGAUUCCAAAACCUAAAUUCAAGUCUUACGGUGCAAACUUUUCUUGGAACAAAAGAACAAGGGUGUCUACAAAAUAGGUUGGCAUUGGCUGUCUCUGACUGUGAAUAAAGUCAGCUGUGCUGUAUUUAUAGUCCAUGCAUAAUACAUCUCUUAAUCUCCUAAUAAAUUUAACCUUUAAACUACA